Molecule: non-coding RNA, 27 nt
Filed under: Mus musculus (house mouse)
Lineage: Eukaryota; Metazoa; Chordata; Mammalia; Rodentia; Muridae
Source: RNAcentral
UGGAAAAACUUGAACAUCAUGUCGAAC